RNAcentral lists this ribosomal RNA (550 nucleotides) under uncultured bacterium. RNAcentral describes it as "bacterial SSU rRNA". It matches the Rfam family "Bacterial small subunit ribosomal RNA", at positions 355 to 896 of the family's 1533-position model. The record is from RNAcentral.
UAGGGAAUCUUCGGCAAUGGGGGCAACCCUGACCGAACAACGCCGCGUGAGUGAAGAAGGUUUUCGGAUCGUAAAGCUCUGUUGUAAGAGAAGAACGAGUGUGAGAGUGGAAAGUUCACACUAUAGCGGUAACUUACCAGAAAGGGACGGCUAACUACGUGCCAGCAGCCGCGGUAAUACGUAGGUCCCGAGCGUUAUCCGGAUUUAUUGGGCGUAAAGCGAGCGCAGGCGGUUAGAUAAGUCUGAAGUUAAAGGCUGUGGCUUACCCAUAGUACGCUUUGGAAACUGUUUAACUUGAGUGCAGAAGGGGAGAGUGGAAUUCCAUGUGUAGCGGUGAAAUGCGUAGAUAUAUGGAGGAACACCGGUGGCGAAAGCGGCUCUCUGGUCUGUAACUGACGCUGAGGCUCGAAAGCGUGGGGAGCAAACAGGAUUAGAUACCCUGGUAGUCCACGCCGCAAACGAUGAGUGCUAGGUGUUGGGUCCUUUCCGGGACUCAGUGCCGCAGCUAACGCAUUAAGCACUCCGCCUGGGGAGUACGACCGCGAGGUUG